RNAcentral lists this ribosomal RNA (429 nucleotides) under Gemmatimonadota bacterium. RNAcentral describes it as "Gemmatimonadetes bacterium partial 16S ribosomal RNA". It matches the Rfam family "Bacterial small subunit ribosomal RNA", at positions 355 to 776 of the family's 1533-position model. Lineage: Bacteria; Pseudomonadati; Gemmatimonadota. The record is from RNAcentral.
UAGGGAAUCUUCGGCAAUGGACGAAAGUCUGACCGAGCAACGCCGCGUGAGUGAAGAAGGUUUUCGGAUCGUAAAACUCUGUUGUUAGAGAAGAACAAGGACGUUAGUAACUGAACGUCCCCUGACGGUAUCUAACCAGAAAGCCACGGCUAACUACGUGCCAGCAGCCGCGGUAAUACGUAGGUGGCAAGCGUUGUCCGGAUUUAUUGGGCGUAAAGCGAGCGCAGGCGGUUUCUUAAGUCGGAUGUGAAAGCCCCCGGCUCAACCGGGUAGGGUCAUUGGAAACUGGGAGACUUGAGUGCAGAAGAGGAGAGUGGAAUUCCAUGUGUAGCGGUGAAAUGCGUAGAUAUAUGGAGGAACACCAGUGGCGAAGGCGGCUCUCUGGUCUGUAACUGACGCUGAGGCUCGAAAGCGUGGGGAGCAAACAGG